This 728-nucleotide long non-coding RNA is filed under the name Homo sapiens (human). RNAcentral's name for it is "non-protein coding lnc-TMEM189-UBE2V1-4:8". The record is from RNAcentral. Lineage: Eukaryota; Metazoa; Chordata; Mammalia; Primates; Hominidae.
GAAGAAGGGGCCGGCCUUCAAGCAAGAGCGACGCAAGAUGGCAGCCACCACGGGCUCGGGAGUAAAAGUCCCUCGCAAUUUCCGACUGUUGGAAGAACUCGAAGAAGGCCAGAAAGGAGUAGGAGAUGGCACAGUUAGCUGGGGUCUAGAAGAUGACGAAGACAUGACACUUACAAGAUGGACAGGGAUGAUAAUUGGGCCUCCAAGAUUUCAGUUUAUAUAUUUGAACCUCCUCUGAUGCUGUUUAACCCCUCUAAAUGAAUUUUCUGCGUCUGCUAAAUACCGGGGAAAACCCAAUCUAGAAAUCCUGUUUCUCCAUGGAGAUAAUUUUCUUUGCUGUCUCUGAAGGUCCAUCAUAUGCUGACAUCUUCUUCACUGCAUGUCUUCUCUUCCUAAGAAUGAUUUCGGUUUCUUGAGGAUGAGAACUGUGCUUCCCUCCUUACUUCCCAGAAUACCUAGAAAUGACUCAGAAUGGGGUACUCAGUAGAUUUGUUAAUCAACUUACUGAUUUACAGGUUCUAAAAUACUGAGAAUUGAACCAAUGUACAACAUUGCGAUACACUAAAUACCACUGAAUUGUACACUUUCAAAAAAACACACAAAACAAUGCAUCAGUAAAUUCUGCUGAAAAUAUUCUGUCUGCCUAAAACAGCUUGGGCUACCCUGAAUUUCAGUUUAUCUCUUUCCAAAAGAGGCUUUGGAAGUUGUAAUGCGUAGCUACGGUAUGC